This 451-nucleotide ribosomal RNA is filed under the name uncultured soil bacterium. RNAcentral's name for it is "bacterial SSU rRNA". It matches the Rfam family "Bacterial small subunit ribosomal RNA", at positions 26 to 474 of the family's 1533-position model. The record is from RNAcentral.
AGAUUGAACGCUGGCGGCAUGCCUUACACAUGCAAGUCGAACGGUAGAAGGAGCAAUCCUUCGAGAGUGGCGAACGGGUGAGUAAUAUAUCGGAACGUGCCCAGUCGUGGGGGAUAACGUAGAGAAAUUUACGCUAAUACCGCAUACGAUCUAAGGAUGAAAGCGGGGGACUCGCAAGAGCCUCGCGCGACUGGAGCGGCUGAUAUCAGAUUAGCUUGUUGGUGAGGUAAAAGCUCACCAAGGCGACGAUCCGUAGCUGGUCUGAGAGGAUGAUCAGCCACACUGGGACUGAGACACGGCCCAGACUCCUACGGGAGCAGCAGUGGGAAUAGUUGGACAAUGGGCGCAAGCCUGAUCCAGCAAUGCCGCGUGUGUGAAGAAGGCCUUCGGGUUGUAAAGCUACUUUUAAGUCGGGAGACGAAAAGCUAGACGGUUAAGUACCCUGUAGUCA